Molecule: unclassified non-coding RNA, 204 nt
Filed under: Hevea brasiliensis (rubber tree)
Lineage: Eukaryota; Viridiplantae; Streptophyta; Magnoliopsida; Malpighiales; Euphorbiaceae
Source: RNAcentral
UCUUCCUUGCUAAAUUAUCUUCCUUCCUUCUCUUGCUAUUUUCUUUUUUAGUCAUCCAUCUGCAGCGCAAUGCAACAUCUCGUACUGUCUUAUUUUGCAGCUGCAAAGCUAUUUUCGCAUAACGUAUUAUGCUUGAUUCUGCUGCAUAUUUAGCUAAACCAUCCUCCAGAAUUGCUUGCUCUUCCAGGCUCCAAUCUGUGGAGA